RNA transcript from Lycium barbarum (goji berry), 1933 nucleotides. It is a transcript of the gene named lanC-like protein GCL1, with no coding region annotated. The record is from RefSeq and is a predicted model, not a curated record. NCBI's taxonomy places the organism in Eukaryota, Viridiplantae, Streptophyta, Magnoliopsida, Solanales, Solanaceae. The transcript is spliced from 6 exons.
GAUAAUUUGAAGAACAAAAGUAAUUUUUAAGAGAAACUAACGAGAAUAUGUCUUCGUCGAUAGUGCAAAGCAAUAGUAAUAGUAGUAAUCAUCAUGAAGAUGGAAAUGAACGGCUUGAUUCUGAUCACCAUAGCCAUGAUCCUACGGCUCAUAAUUAUAUCUCCCUCCCUUCUGAAACUUUUCUUCAAGCUGCCAUCUCUCUCAAAGAUCAGGUAGUAGAAAUGACGUGGAAAGGAAAGGGAAGGAGUGCCAGCGCCGUUACAGAUCCAACGAUGUAUAUUGGUCUGCUAGGAACGGCGUUUACUUGCUUGAGGUCUUACGAAGCCACCGGUGAUCGGAAAGACUUGGAAUUGUGCUCUGAUAUAGUUGACGCGUGUGCCGACCUUGCACGCACCCUCACCAGGCAUGUGACGUUUCUGUGUGGAAGAGGAGGGGUAUAUGCUCUUGGUGCUGUUGCUGCCAACUAUUGUGGGGACCAACCCAAACGUGACUUGUAUUUGAACCAUUUCCUUGAGGUAGCACAAGAGAGAGCCCUUCCAGUUGGACCUGAAGAUGGAGGUUUUGGAAUGUCAUAUGACCUCCUUUAUGGACGGGCUGGUUUCUUGUGGGCAGCAUUGUUUAUGAGGAAGUACUUGGGAGAGGAGGCAGUGCCAGACGAUUAUCUCAUGCCUGUAGUUGAAGCAAUAUUAGCAGGAGGGAGAGCAGGGGCAUCUGAUAACCCAGCCUGCCCGCUGAUGUAUAGAUGGCACGGGACAAGGUAUUGGGGCGCUGCUCACGGCCUUUCUGGUAUUCUGCACGUAUUACUUCAUUUUCCGCUCUCUCAAGAAGAUAUUGAAGAUGUUAAGGAAACCUUGAGGUACAUGAUGAGCAACAGGUUUCCCCACAGUGGUAAUUAUCCUGUCAGUGAAGGGAAUCCAAGAGACAAGCUGGUCCAAUGGUCCCAUGGUGCCACAGGUGUUACCAUUACUAUGUGCAAAGUAUCUGAGGUACUGUCAAAUGAUAGGGAAUUCCGUGAUGCUGCCAUAGAAGGCGGAGAGGUGGUGUGGAAAAGCGGGUUUGUCAAGAAAGUGGGACUUGCAGAUGGUGCCUCGGGAAAUGCUUACGCCUUCCUCUCCUUAUAUCGGCUAACUGGGGAAAGCAUAUAUGAAGAAAGAGCAAGAGCUUUUGCAAGUUGCUUAUAUCACAAUGCAAGAACGAUCAUGAACGAAAGACAUAAUAAUGAAGCAGAUCAUACGUACUCCCUUUUCCAAGGAUUAGGUGGCGUUGCUUGCUUCCUGUUCGACUUGCUUGCGCCGAAUAAUUCCAGGUUCCCAGGAUACGAACUUUGAGGGUGGAAGGUGUACUCUCUUGCUUAACUGGUGUGACAAAAUACUAGUACCACUAUGCGACACGAAUCUGAUUCAUCAUAAUCUGGGAGCUUAGGAUGGACAGGACUUUUCAAAGAUGAUUCUUUUCCAGGGUCUUGAACUGGAAAUGAAUUCGACAGAAUUUCAGUUGGCAUACUCAUGGUCCUUGAAUAAGAGUGCUGAUUUUCUUUUCUUGGCCUUAAAUCAAGUCAUUGCUGAUGAUGAGAAAGUGAAAGAGCAAUAUUCUUAACAAUUAAAAGGAUCCCCUGCAUCCUUUAUACAAGUGUGCUCAAUUGGUGAUGAAAAAUCAACAGAUAUAAUACUUGCUUUUGUCGCGAUGUUGGAAUUUUUUUCUCCGUCUUUCUUGUAACCAGUUUGUACAUAGUCAAUAGUUUUAUUUUCCUGGAGUUUUGUUACGUAGAAAAUAGGAUGGUUUAGAGAUCUUUACACAAAUAACAGGUAUACUGUUUACUUUUACUAGUCCAUAUACAUAAAUUAUAUACUAAUUAUACAUGGUUAUACACAUAUUAUAGAUGCAUUGUACAUAUACCAGCCGGCUAUUUUAAGUUUAUGCGCUUGAAUAAGAA